Salmo salar (Atlantic salmon) is the source of this 1683-nucleotide non-coding RNA. The record is from RefSeq and is a predicted model, not a curated record. Lineage: Eukaryota; Metazoa; Chordata; Actinopteri; Salmoniformes; Salmonidae.
ACAGGCUAUGAACACUGAACUAAAUAAACGAGCCGAUCGAUGGUAAUAGUAGUUUCUCCUCUGAUUUCAAUAAUCAAAGAUCAGGUUUGUGUUCUGAACUCUCAAGGAAUCGCUGCCGCAUACCGGAUCAAAGUGAGACGGAGGAACUCCUGAAACUUGUGUUUUUUGGCUCAGAGAAAUGCCGAUGCCUACUUCAAGCAGCAUCGUUCCUGCGAGCGUCUCAUUGGAAUGAAUGUUGAUGAGGUCCACAACACGGUUCAGAGGGCGAGGUUGAACUUCUCAGCCAACUUACCUGAUCAAUAAAGGACGGCUUUGAGGCGGCAGCGGAUGAGGUAGAGGCUGCGCCACGUGGAACAUUCCUCCCCUCUCUCCCCGGAUCAGCGCUUCAAUGUUCUCAUCUCCUACCCCUAUUUUAUUACUAGCUUCCUCCCUCUUCCUCCCGUCCUCCUUCCGUCCUCCCCUCCCAACAUGUCAGGCUAACGCUGUACACUUAAUCUGUAUGGUUGGUGUUAGCAGGAUGCUAGGCUAAUGGCUAGCUCUGAACAGGUCAUCUGUGUGGGAGUGUUAGCAGGAUGCUAUGCUAAAGGCUAAUGUAAAUUAGAUGACAGGGUAGCACAGAGCAUGGAUCUAUAGCGCCCUCUAUCUGUAGAGGCAGGUAACAACAAAACUCACUAUUCUCUGAACCCAAUAAAAUUGUGUCAUGAUUGUCUCAGAUGAGGGGAGAAUAAAGACUCACUGGUCCAGUUCAGCAUCAGGGUCCAGUACCUACCAUGUACAUAUGAUCAGGGAGAUCGUUGAAGAAUCACUUUGGAAUUGGACGUCGGGAAAUGCCUUCAGAACCGGCCACUGGGGCAACAGUGAGCGUUAUUACCCUCGGGUUUUUACCAUGGCACUGAGGACAAGGGUGGUAGAGUUAACUGUAACUAAACAUAACCUUUCAUUUAAAAAUGUUGAAGUUUGGAGCAACGGGACAAUACAACAGCAGAGUGUCAAACUACGGACAUUGGGAUAAACGCCUAGUUCUGCAGUGAUGCUUGUUGCAUAUGAUGUCAUAUCAGUCCCUGCAUUAACAAUAUGGACCAGUACCAGAACCAUCUCAGUCCAUUAGGACUCAACAUAACUCAUGUAGGGAGCAGAGAGACAGGUCUGUUCAGCAGAGAGACAGGUCUGUUCAGUAGGGAGCAGAGAGACAGGUCUGUUCAGCAGAGAGACAGGUCUGUUCAGUAGGGAGCAGAGGGACAGGUCUGUUCAGUAGGGAGCAGAGAGACAGGUCUGUUCAGUAGGGAGCAGAGAGACAGGUCUGUUCAGUAGGGAGCAGAGAGACAGGUCUGUUCAGCAGAGAGACAGGUCCGUUCAGUAGGGAGCAGAGAGACAGGUCUGUUCAGCAGGGAGCAGAGAGACAGGUCUGUUCAGUAGAGAGACAGGUCUGUUCAGUAGGGAGCAGAGAGACAGGUCUAUUCAGUAGGGAGCAGAGAGACAGGUCUGUUCAGUAGGGAGCAGAGAGACAGGUCUGUUCAGUAGGGAGCAGAGACAGGUCUGUUCAGCAGAGAGACAGGUCUGUUCAGUAGGGAGCAGAGAGACAGGUCUGUUCAGUAGGGAGCAGAGAGACAGGUCUGUUCAGUAGGGAGCAGAGAGACAGGUCUGUUCAGUAGGGAGCAGAGAGACAGGUCUGUUCAGUAGGGA